RNAcentral lists this ribosomal RNA (443 nucleotides) under uncultured bacterium. Its description in RNAcentral is "partial 16S ribosomal RNA". It matches the Rfam family "Bacterial small subunit ribosomal RNA", at positions 338 to 795 of the family's 1533-position model. The record is from RNAcentral.
CCUACGGGAGGCAGCAGUGGGGAAUAUUGGGCAAUGGAGGAAACUCUGACCCAGCAACGCCGCGUGAAUGAUGAAGGUCUUCGGAUUGUAAAGUUCUUUUCUAAGGGAAGAAGAAAGUGACGGUACCUUAGGAAUAAGCCUCGGCUAACUACGUGCCAGCAGCCGCGGUAAUACGUAGGAGGCAAGCGUUAUCCGGAAUGACUGGGCGUAAAGGGUGCGUAGGUGGUUUGAUAAGUUGGUAGCGUAACUCCGAGGCUCAACCUCGGCACUACUACCAAAACUGUCGGACUUGAGUGCAGGAGGGGCAACUGGAAUGCCUAGUGUAGCGGUGGAAUGCGUAGAUAUUAGGAAGAACACCAGUGGCGAAGGCGGCUUGCUGGACAGUAACUGACGUUGAGGCUCGAAAGCGUGGGGAGCAAACAGGAUUAGAUACCCUAGUAGUC